RNAcentral lists this ribosomal RNA (253 nucleotides) under uncultured prokaryote. RNAcentral describes it as "partial 16S ribosomal RNA". It matches the Rfam family "Bacterial small subunit ribosomal RNA", at positions 522 to 774 of the family's 1533-position model. The record is from RNAcentral.
AAUACGUAGGGGGCGAGCGUUGUCCGGAAUUAUUGGGCGUAAAGAGCGUGUAGGCGGUUCGGUAAGUCUGCCGUGAAAACCCAGGGCUCAACCCUGGGCGUGCGGUGGAUACUGCCGAGCUAGAGGGUGGUAGAGGCGAGUGGAAUUCCCGGUGUAGCGGUGAAAUGCGCAGAUAUCGGGAGCAACACCAGUAGCGAAGGCGGCUCGCUGGGCCAUACCUGACGCUGGGACGCGAAAGCGUGGGGAGCAAACA